AUGGUGUCCACCAUGGCCUGGUCCCCUCUCCUCUUCACCCUCCUCACUCACUGCACAGGAUCCUGGGCCCAGUCUGUGCUGACUCAGCCUCCCUUGGUGUCUGGGGCUCUGGGGCAGACCGUCACUAUUUCAUGCACUGUCAGCGACUCCAGUUUUUGGGGUGGUGAAUUUAUACACUGGUACCAGCAACUCCCAGGAGCGGCCCAGAAACUUCUCAUCUAUGGUAACAACAAUGGUCCUUCUGGGGUCCCCAGUCGAUUUUCUGGCUCCAAGUCUGGCAACUCCCACUCUCUGACCAUCACUGGGCUCCAGCCUGAAGAUGAGGCUGAUUAUUACUGCCAAUACUUUGAUGACAGAGUCAUUACACAAUGCUGCAGGCCUGUGGGGAAGUGA
Non-coding RNA from Puma concolor (puma), 393 nucleotides. Lineage: Eukaryota; Metazoa; Chordata; Mammalia; Carnivora; Felidae. The record is from the annotation of a RefSeq genome assembly.